GAUGAGCGCUGGCGGCGUGCCUAAUACAUGCAAGUCGAGCGAACAGACGAGGAUCUUGUUCGUUUGUCGUUAGCGGCGCACGGGUGUGUAACACGUAUGUAAUCUACCUAUAAUUCUGGGAUCACUUCGGGAAUCCGGAUCUAAUACCGGAUAAUAUUUCGAAGCGCAUGGUUCGAUAGUGAAAGAUGGCGUUGCUGUCACUUAUCGCUGGACCUGCGCCGUUUUAGCUAGUUGUUAAGUUAACGGCUUUCCAAGGCAACGAGUCGUUGCCGACCUGCGAGGGGGAUCGGCCACACGGGAAGUGAGACACGGUCAAGACUACUAAGGGAGGCAGCAGUAGGGAAUCUUCCGCAAUGGGCGAGAGCCUGACACAGCAGCGCCGCGUGAGUGAUGACAGUCUUCCGAUCGUAAAACUCGGUUACUAGGGAAGAACCAACGUGUCAGGAACUGUGCACGUAUUGACGGUACCUAAUCAGAAAGCAACGGCUAACUACGUG
This 497-nucleotide ribosomal RNA is filed under the name uncultured bacterium. RNAcentral describes it as "partial 16S ribosomal RNA". It matches the Rfam family "Bacterial small subunit ribosomal RNA", at positions 28 to 507 of the family's 1533-position model. The record is from RNAcentral.